UCGUGACCUGAGCCGAAGUCGGAGGCUUAACCAACUGAGCCACCCAGGGUAAACACAUAAAAUUCUUAGAUCUCUGGCUGUACAAAAGCAAGUGGCAAGCUGCGUUUGACCCAGCGGCAGAAGCGUAUGGAUCCCCUUCCUGGAAUAUGAUGGUCUAGAGAUGCCUGUCAAAAUCCUCUGAAGCUGUCUUCACCUUCCCCUUAGCAAAGCCUCCCAGCGCUCAUUUUUGCCUGUAGGUAUAAGGGCUGCAGGUCCUCUCCCUCCCUCACGCAGCCUCCAAAAUGUGCCACGGAAAUUUAGACACUUAGGAAUUGCCUUGGAACAGAACUGGUGGAAACAGCGACUCUAGGAUUUGCUGCCAGUUUCUCCCCCGCCCCGCGGGUGGAACAAGUUGUUGAUUGUUCUCUUUCCCUGGAUUUUAACCAAGGUGAUAAAUGAGUCCCAGAGGAAGAGAUCUCGGGGAAAGGUGGGUGCUCGGAGCCAGAGCCCUGACUCCCAGGCCUUGCGCUUAUCUGCGUCAGAACCUCUGUUUCCAGCAAUAAAGGCUGUUCUAAGUGGUCCAGGA
This is a long non-coding RNA of Herpailurus yagouaroundi (jaguarundi), 565 nucleotides long. RefSeq lists it as uncharacterized. The transcript has 2 exons. The record is from RefSeq and is a predicted model, not a curated record. Lineage: Eukaryota; Metazoa; Chordata; Mammalia; Carnivora; Felidae.